UUAUUUUUAUUUUUAUUGUGUAAAAUAUUAUUUAGUUUCGCUUUUGUAUUCUAAAUUUAUAUAAGAAAAAACUACAAAUAUUAUCCAUAUUUUCUCACUUUACUAUCAUGUGGUUUAAAUUAUAUCAGUUUAGUGCCCCUUGGUUUUAUCUUUAUUUUUUUAUUAUCGAUUUUACUAAUUUUUUUUAUUAAAUCAGUGACAAAAUUAAAACUAAAAAAUAAAGUAAAUAUUCGAUAAACUUAGAUGGGUUAUCUAAAGUUUUUUUAUAUAUAGUUUAACGAAAUAUUAACAGAAAAGUUGACGAAAAGAUAAAAAUGAAACCAUAUGACAUUAACUUGGUAAACUUUAGAUCACAGAAUACUGAAUUGAGAAAGUGUGAAAAUAUAACGGUGAUAUUGAAAGUUUACCCUUUGUAUAAAUAUCAUC
RNAcentral lists this long non-coding RNA (426 nucleotides) under Ananas comosus (pineapple). Its description in RNAcentral is "long non-coding RNA (ACOM_LNC002983)". Lineage: Eukaryota; Viridiplantae; Streptophyta; Magnoliopsida; Poales; Bromeliaceae. The record is from RNAcentral.